This 809-nucleotide long non-coding RNA is filed under the name Phasianus colchicus (ring-necked pheasant). RNAcentral's name for it is "lncRNA (ENSPCLG00000017030.1)". Lineage: Eukaryota; Metazoa; Chordata; Aves; Galliformes; Phasianidae. The record is from RNAcentral.
AUUAUGGGACCUAUGGGGGCAUUAUGGGAUCAUUAUGGGACCUGUGGGGGCAUUAUGGGACCUAUGGGGGCAUUAUGGGACCUAUGGGGGCAUUAUGGGAUCGUUAUGGGACCUGUGGGGGCAUUGUGGGACCUACGGGGGCAUUAUGGGACCUAUGGGGGCAUUAUGGGAUCGUUAUGGGAUCUAUAGGGGCAGUGUGGGACCUACAGGGGCACUAUGGGACCUAUGGGGGCACUAUGGGAUCGUUAUGGGAUCUGUAGGGGCAGUGUGGGGCCUGUAGGGGCACUAUGGGACCUAUAGGGGCACUGCAGGACCUAUGGGGGCAUUAUGGGACCAUUAUGGGACUUAUAGGGGCACUAUGGGAGCUAUGGGGGAAGUGUGAGACCAUUAUGGGAUGUAUAGGUGCCAUUGGGUGCCAUUGGGUUCCACUGGGUUCCUUUGGGUGUUCCAUUGGGUGCCAUUGGGUUCCCUUGGAGUUCCACUGGGUUCCAUUGGGUUCCAUUGGAGUUCCAUUGGGUUCCACUGGGUGCCAUUGGGUUCCACUGGGUUCCAUUAAGUUCCAUUGGGUGCCAUUGGGUUCCAUUGGAGUUCCAUUGGGUUCCAUUGGGUUCCACUGGGUUCCACUGGGUUCCAUUGGGUUCCAUUGGAGUUCCAUUGGGUUCCAUUGGGUUCCACUGGGUUCCAUUGGAGUUCCAUUGGGUUCCAUUGGGUUCCACUGGGUUCCAUUAGGUUCCAUUGGUUUCCAUUGGGUUCCAUUAAGUUCCAUUGGGUGCCAUUGGGUGCCAUUGGGUGCCAUUGGGUGCCAUUGA